RNAcentral lists this ribosomal RNA (301 nucleotides) under uncultured bacterium. RNAcentral describes it as "partial 16S ribosomal RNA". It matches the Rfam family "Bacterial small subunit ribosomal RNA", at positions 509 to 807 of the family's 1533-position model. The record is from RNAcentral.
CAGUAGCCACGGUAAAACGAAGGGUGCAAGCGUUACUCGGAAUUACUGGGCGUAAAGCGUGCGUAGGUGGUGGUUUAAGUCCGUUGUGAAAGCCCUGGGCUCAACCUGGGAAUUGCAGUGGAUACUGGAUCACUAGAGUGUGGUAGAGGAUAGUGGAAUUUCCGGUGUAGCAGUGGAAUGCGUAGAGAUCGGAAGGAACAUCUGUGGCGAAGGCGACUAUCUGGGACAACACUGACGCUGAGGCACGAAAGCGUGGGGAGCAAACAGGAUUAGAUACCCGCGUAGUCCCUGUCUCUUAUAC